Molecule: non-coding RNA, 780 nt
Organism: Coregonus clupeaformis (lake whitefish)
Lineage: Eukaryota; Metazoa; Chordata; Actinopteri; Salmoniformes; Salmonidae
Source: the annotation of a RefSeq genome assembly
UUUCGGAGCCACUGACACGCUGCACAAUGAUGAUGUCACUGAUUCUACUGCUGGGGACACUUGGGCUCCUUGUUCAGGAAUCAUCAGCGGGCAUAAUUCUGACCCAUUCUGCUAAAUCUCAGUCUGUUCGCCAAGGAGAGACCGUCUCCAUCAGCUGUACAGCCAGUUCAGGCAUUAGUAAUUAUCUCCACUGGUACCUGCAGAAACCCGGAGAGGCGCCUAAACUCCUGGUUUAUUCUGCUUCAACUCGUCAGACUGGGAUUCCAGGUCGUUUCAGUGGGAGUGGAUCUGGUUCUCAUUACACUCUGACCAUCAGUGGAGUCCAGGCUGAAGAUGCUGGAUAUUACUACUGCCAGCAGAGUUACAGCGGGUUUCACAGUGUUAAAGAGCGUCGUACAAAAACCUCCCUCAGCUAAAGAGGAACUGCCCUGACUCAACAGCUGCAGAGCUACAGAGUCUCCUGUAUUCUAAAGUAUUCUAAACACCAUUUCAUCAAAAUAUGACACUACAAUACAAUAAUGGAAUUGGUUAGACUUUUCCAAGGACUAAGAUACUGUACGUAUCUCUCAAUGUAUUCUGCAAAAAUUGAAAUAUUUGUAAACACACUGGGACCACUAAGGGUACAGAGCUGUAGAAAAUGCUUUAUUUUGAAGGAUUUGUUGAACAAAAUUCAGAAUAGGUUUCGAAUUUUUUCAACGUUUUGAUUUAUCUUCAAACACUCCACAGAGCUGGGUUUUACGGCAGAGUGGCCAGAAAAAAGCCAUUGCUUAAAGAAGAAAA